GUCCAUUCGGGCACAUCCCGUAAAAUUAGAAAUAUAUAAAGUAGAUUAGCAUGACCUAUGUAUAAGAUUAGCAUGACCUAUGUACAUUUGCAGCAUAUAUAA
Molecule: small nuclear RNA, 102 nt
Filed under: Brassica rapa (field mustard)
Lineage: Eukaryota; Viridiplantae; Streptophyta; Magnoliopsida; Brassicales; Brassicaceae
Source: RNAcentral